This 137-nucleotide unclassified non-coding RNA is filed under the name soil metagenome. Its description in RNAcentral is "partial internal transcribed spacer 1". The record is from RNAcentral.
CUGAGUUUUCAACUCUCCAAACCAUGUGAACUUACCACUGUUGCCUCGGUGGUUUGGGUCUUCGGGCCUGACCACCGGCGGACUACUAAACUCUUGUUAAUUUUUAGCAUUCUGAAUCAUAACUAAGAAAUAAGUUA